Molecule: long non-coding RNA, 618 nt
Filed under: Helianthus annuus (common sunflower)
Lineage: Eukaryota; Viridiplantae; Streptophyta; Magnoliopsida; Asterales; Asteraceae
Description: hypothetical non coding rna
Source: RNAcentral
UUCACAACCUCUUUUAUCUUCUCCACGCAGACCACGUGCAGACGUAGAGGUCUGCAGCCUGUUUGUUUUUUUGGAAGAGGUUCCAUUAAAAAACCUCUUCCCCAUCACUUCCUCGUGCAGACAAGGCCCAACAUCUUCAUUCCUCUUCUACAAUCCUCCCUCUUUCAAACCACUGAACCCUAGCACCCAUCUCCUCCUCCAGCGCACCUCACCUCCUCCGCCACCCCUUCCACCUCCGCCGCCCUGCACCUCCGUCACCCCCUCCACCUUCGUCGCCCUCCUCCUCCAGCCGACACCCACCUCCGUCGCCCCUCCUCCUCCAGCCGACACCCACCUCCGUCGCCCUCCCCCUCCAGGUGUUUGAAGCUCGAUUGUUUGAAUUGGUCGUCGGUGAGAUAGUGUCGGAACUGGUCGCCGGCAGUGAGUAAUGGCGAUAUCGUUCCCGGAGGAGGUGUUGGAGCAUGUAUUCUCGUUCAUAACGUCGCAUAUAGACCAGAAAUUGUUGCUUGUUGUGAUGUUGUUACUUAUAAACUUUGAAACAAUUUGAUGUAAUGCAGACAUUGUUGCUUGUUGUUUGCUAGUUGGUAACGCAUUUAUCUAUCUUGUUGUUUUUGUCCU